Homo sapiens (human) is the source of this 1272-nucleotide long non-coding RNA. Ensembl annotates it as long intergenic non-protein coding RNA 964. Lineage: Eukaryota; Metazoa; Chordata; Mammalia; Primates; Hominidae. The record is from Ensembl.
CCAUGAUGUCACCACACUGCUAUAUGGAAAAGAACAUUAAUCGAGCACCUACGUGCUUGAUUCUCUUAAUUCUGUGACUGAACUCUCAAAACACCCUGGGUUGGUUUCCUUUUUACAACUGCCCAAGUCAUGAGUUCAUAGGGCCUGGAUGGCUGUACCGGAUUGCUCUCCAGCUGGUCUCUCUGCAUCCAGAAAUUUCUACAACCUACUGGGAUUGUCUACUUCCCCUCCUAGACUGUACUCUCCACAAGAGAGCAAAGCUGUGUCUGUUGCAUUCACUGUUGUCUUCCCAGAAGCAAGCAGCAUGCUGGAGACCCUCAAAUACAUGUGAAAUGAAGGGACACCUUGUGUUAUUUCACCUGUUUCCACCUGGUUCCCAAGUGGCAAGCUUGCAUUGAGGUUACAAAGUGGCAAAGCUGGGAUAUCACAUGAUGUCACCAUGAUGCUAUAUGAAAUGUAACAUUAAUUGAGUACCUAUGUGACCAGUUCUUUAAUUCUGUAAGUGAACUCUCAAAAAACCCUAGGUAAGUAUUAUCAACUCGAACUUUAACGGAUGAGGAAACUGGAAUUUUUUAAAAAAUGACUUAACCAAACAUCACAGAGCUGUAAACCAGGAUUUGAAUGGGUGAGCUGCACUCAGCCUUCAUCUCAAGUCAGUUUGCCUCUUUCUCCAAGAAGCCACAGUUGAUCCUGACCACAUCACAUAUGAGUUGCCUGGAUUGCAGUCAUUCAUUCACUAAGCAUCUUUUAGGAGGUCACAUGCCAGGCACCGUGUUAGAGCACUGCGUGUUUUGAAAUAUACAAAUAGUGGGAAACGAAAUCUUUGUUCUGGAUGCAGUUAUAAUUUGGAAAGCGAGGAAAUAAAUUAUAACAAGGGGAAAAAACAGACACAGAGGGAUUGAAAUGCAUAACAAUAGAGAUGAAACACGAAGAGUGAUAAAUGAAGAUUGAGUGUGCACACCUUCUGGAGGAGCCCUGAUUGAGUAUUUUAAAAUACUACUAAAGUCAUGCCGUGUGACUUCUGAAGCUAGCUCCUAAGAAGUCCUUGCAGCUUCUGCCUGCGACUCUUAGAACACUUGCUUUGAAGGAUGCCAGAUGCUGUCUUAAAAGUCUGAGCACUCUGAAACCAUCAUGCUGUGAGGAAGCCCAAGCUAACCACAUGGGCAAAAAAGAUGCCCUCUGACUGCCACCAUUUGAGACACUCUAAUUAAGAACUGCCUCAUUGAGCCCAUGAGGCCCUGUGAAUGAUAAUAAUAAAUUGUUUUUAACCAC